GAUGAACGCUAGCGGCAGGCCUAAUACAUGCAAGUCGAGGGGCAGCACGGUAGCAAUACUGGUGGCGACCGGCGCACGGGUGCGUAACACGUAUGCAACCUGCCUUCAACUGGGAGAUAGCCCGGGGAAACUCGGAUUAAUACCCCAUAACACAGUGAAACAGCAUUGUUUUAUUGUUAAAGCUCCGGCGGUUGAAGAUGGGCAUGCGUUCGAUUAGCUAGUUGGUGUAGGUAAUGGCUCACCAAGGCUACGAUCGAUAGGGGGUCUGAGAGGAUGAUCCCCCACACUGGUACUGAGAUACGGACCAGACUCCUACGGGAGGCAGCAGUAGGGAAUAUUGGUCAAUGGACGCAAGUCUGAACCAGCCAUGCCGCGUGCAGGAAGACGGCCCUCU
Molecule: ribosomal RNA, 394 nt
Filed under: uncultured bacterium
Lineage: Bacteria
Description: bacterial SSU rRNA
Rfam family: Bacterial small subunit ribosomal RNA
Source: RNAcentral